Non-coding RNA from Acanthosepion pharaonis, 114 nucleotides. The record is from the annotation of a GenBank genome assembly. Lineage: Eukaryota; Metazoa; Mollusca; Cephalopoda; Sepiida; Sepiidae.
UUACGGCCAUAUCUCGUUGAAACGGUGGCUCUCAUACGAUCACCGAAGUUAAGCAACAUCAUGCAUGGUUAGUACCUAGAUGGGUGACCGAUUGGAAAUAUCAUCUGUCGUAAG